UGCCUUGGGUAGCUGUAAGUAAGCGAUGAUCCAGGGAUUUCCGAAUGGGGGAACCCAACAGGUACUACCUGUUACCCAUAUCUGUUAAGGAUAUGAGGAGGAAGACGCAGUGAACUGAAACAUCUAAGUAGCUGCAGGAAGAGAAAGCAAAAGCGAUUGCCUUAGUAGCGGCGAGCGAAACGGCAGGAGGGCAAACCGAAGAGUUUACUCUUCGGGGUUGUAGGACUGCAAUGUGGACUCAAAGAUUAUAGAAGAAUGACAUGGGAAGGUCAGCCAAAGAGAGUGAGAGCCUCGUAUUUAAAAUAGUCUUUGUACCUAGCAGUAUCCUGAGUACGGCGAGACACGUGAAAUCUCGUCGGAAUCUGGGAGGACCAUCUCCCAACCCUAAAUACUCUCUAGUGACCGAUAGUGAACCAGUACCGUGAGGGAAAGGUGAAAAGCACCCCGGGAGGGGAGUGAAAUAGAACCUGAAACCGUGUGCCUACAACAAGUUCGAGCCCGUUAAUGGGUGAGAGCGUGCCUUUUGUAGAAUGAACCGGCGAGUUACGAUAUGAUGCGAGGUUAAGUUGAAGAGACGGAGCCGUAGGGAAACCGAGUCUGAAUAGGGCGCUUUAGUAUUAUGUCGUAGACCCGAAACCAUGUGACCUACCCAUGAGCAGGU
Molecule: ribosomal RNA, 661 nt
Filed under: Porphyromonadaceae bacterium
Lineage: Bacteria; Pseudomonadati; Bacteroidota; Bacteroidia; Bacteroidales; Porphyromonadaceae
Description: partial 23S ribosomal RNA
Rfam family: Bacterial large subunit ribosomal RNA
Source: RNAcentral